RNAcentral lists this ribosomal RNA (521 nucleotides) under uncultured bacterium. RNAcentral's name for it is "bacterial SSU rRNA". It matches the Rfam family "Archaeal small subunit ribosomal RNA", at positions 345 to 866 of the family's 1478-position model. The record is from RNAcentral.
AACCUCCGCAAUGUGAGAAAUCGCGACGGGGGGAUCCCAAGUGCCAUUCUUAACGGGAUGGCUUUUCUUAAGUGUAAAAAGCUUUUGGAAUAAGAGCUGGGCAAGACCGGUGCCAGCCGCCGCGGUAACACCGGCAGCUCUAGUGGUAGCUGUUUUUAUUGGGCCUAAAGCGUUCGUAGCCGGUUUGAUAAGUCACUGGUGGAAUCCUGUAGCUUAACUGUGGGAAUUGCUGGUGAUACUGUUGAACUUGAGGUCGGGAGAGGUUAGCGGUACUCCCAGGGUAGAGGUGAAAUUCUGUAGUCCUGGGAGGACCACCUGUGGCGAAGGCGGCUAACUGGAACGAACCUGACGGUGAGGGACGAAAGCUAGGGGCGCGAACCGGAUUAGAUACCCGGGUAGUCCUAGCCGUAAACGAUGCGGACUUGGUGUUGGGAUGGCUUUGAGCCGCUCCGGUGCCGAAGGGAAGCUGUUAAGUCCGCCGCCUGGGAAGUACGGUCGCAAGACUGAAACUUAAGGAAAUU